RNAcentral lists this non-coding RNA (20 nucleotides) under Arabidopsis thaliana (thale cress). The record is from RNAcentral. Lineage: Eukaryota; Viridiplantae; Streptophyta; Magnoliopsida; Brassicales; Brassicaceae.
CUGAGAUUCAGCCCUUUGUC